GACGAACGCUGGCGGCGUGCUUAACACAUGCAAGUCGAACGGAAAGGCCCUGCUUGCAGGGUGCUCGAGUGGCGAACGGGUGAGUAACACGUGGGUGAUCUGCCCCUUACUUUGGGAUAAGCCUGGGAAACUGGGUCUAAUACUGGAUAGGACCAUGCUGUAGGUGGUGUGGUGGAAAGAUUAGUUUCGGUAAGGGAUGAGCUCGCGGCCUAUCAGCUUGUUGGUGGGGUAAUGGCCUACCAAGGCGUCGACGGGUAGCCGGCCUGAGAGGGUGGACGGCCCCAUUGGGACUGAGAUACGGCCCAGACGCCUACGGGAGGCAGCAGUGGGGAAUAUUGCACAAUGGGCGCAAGCCGGAUGCAGCGACGCCGCGUGGGGGGUGACGGCCUUCGGGUUGUAAACUCCUUUCAGCCAUGACGAAGCCCUUGUGGUGACGGUAGUGGUAGAAGAAGCACCGGCUAACUACGUG
RNAcentral lists this ribosomal RNA (469 nucleotides) under uncultured bacterium. RNAcentral describes it as "partial 16S ribosomal RNA". It matches the Rfam family "Bacterial small subunit ribosomal RNA", at positions 28 to 507 of the family's 1533-position model. The record is from RNAcentral.